UCAUACUGAAAAGCCACAAAGCUUGUCAAUUUUGUUUCAGAGUACCAUUGGGGUUGCCUCUAGCCUUAUGCCUCCCUGUGAGAAUAUUUUGUUUAGGGUUAUUUUCUCUCAAAAAGUGUUUAUACAAGGUAUAUAAGAAAUAUACUCCUUAGAUUAUUAUGUUAUUGGUGGUAUUAUUAUUAUUAUUAUUAUUAUUAUUAUUAUUUUGCUCCUGGGUUAGCCCCCCAAAACUGAAAGUUUCUGGAGGAAAUUAUCAGUAACUAAGUUUUAGGACUUUCCCUUAUGGUUAUGUGCAAUCUGACUUUCUUUGGUUACUGACCAUUCUAUGGUGGGAAAGAGCAAGACUGCAGGCAUGGUUGAUUAAAAACAGGUUGGUGAAUGCUAUACAUGUAAUGUGGACAAAGUCAAAUAUCAGCCCGGCACUUCUACACUGAGUAAAUCUGAACUCUUUUUCUCACCUGGAAAUUGUCAGACUUACCUAGUCUAACAUCUAUUAAGUCUUAAUCUAUUUCUUUUACUUUUUUUAGGACUGAGAAAUGAAUAGGAAACUCAGUGGGUUGGAGAGUACUUAAAUGCCGUGGGCCUUUAAGGAAAUUCUACUGAAAUCAAUAUAACUAAGGAAAGCAUGUUUGAAUAUAGAGAAAGCAUGAAAAUACUGUAAAGAUAAACUUGUCGGUAUUUCUGAAGUCCGGCAGUUUGACAGAGAGAAAUUUUUCUGGAAAAUGGAACUACAUUAACAAAGAUAAACAGAUUAUCCUGAUGAUGUUACAAAAGCUAAGACAGAAAUUCUCCUGCCUCAUCACUACAGUUACCACAUACCUUGUGGUUGAAUUUUUAUUGUUCUUCU
Molecule: long non-coding RNA, 847 nt
Filed under: Canis lupus familiaris (dog)
Lineage: Eukaryota; Metazoa; Chordata; Mammalia; Carnivora; Canidae
Description: lncRNA (ENSCAFG00030011462.1)
Source: RNAcentral